GACGAACGCUGGCGGCGUGCCUAACGCAUGCAAGUCAACUUGACUGAAGGAGCAAUCUGACAGUAGAGUGGCGCAAGGGUGCGUAACGCGUAAGUAACUUGCCCCAAGGUAAGGAAUAACGUCGAGAAAUCGGCGCUAAUACCUCAUAAUGCAGCGGAUCCGCAUGGAUAUGUUGUUAAAGGUUUACCGCCUUGGGAUAGGCUUGCGUCUGAUUAGCUAGUUGGUGUGGUAACGGCACACCAAGGCUACGAUCAGUAACUGGUCUGAGAGGAUGAUCAGUCACACUGGAACUGAGACACGGUCCAGACUCCUACGGGAGGCAGCAGUGAGGAAUAAUUGGGCAAUGCUCGAAAGAGUGACCCAGCAACGCCGCGUGGAGGAUGAAGGUAUUCUAUAUCGUAAACUCCUGUGAGAGCAGACGAAAGACAGAUUAUUAAUCUGGAUGACUGUAUGCUCAGAGGAAGCCCGG
RNAcentral lists this ribosomal RNA (469 nucleotides) under uncultured bacterium. Its description in RNAcentral is "bacterial SSU rRNA". It matches the Rfam family "Bacterial small subunit ribosomal RNA", at positions 28 to 495 of the family's 1533-position model. The record is from RNAcentral.